GGCGGCACGCCUAAUACAUGCAAGUCGAACGAAGUAGCAAUACUUAGUGGCAGACGGGUGAGUAACAUGUGGGUAUCUUCCCUUUGGUGAGGAAUAACACGAGGAAACUUGUGCUAAUACCUCAUAAGUCUUUACGGAGAAAGCUUUAUGCGCCAAUGGAUGAGCCUGCACUUGAUUAGUUUGUUGGUGGGGUAAUGGCCUACCAAGACUUUGAUCAAUAGCUGAUUUGAGAGGAUGAUCAGCCACAUUGGGACUGAGACACGGCCCAAACUCCUACGGGAGGCAGCAGUAGGGAAUCUUGCACAAUGGAGGAAACUCUGAUGCAGCGAUGCCGCGUGAGUGAAGAAGGCCCUUGGGUUGUAAAGCUCUUUCGUCGGGGAAGAAAAUGACUGUACCCGAAUAAGAAGGUCCGGCUAACUUCGUGCCAGCAGCCGCGGUAAUACGAAGGGACCUAGCGUAGUUCGGAAUUACUGGGCUUAAAGAGUUCGUAGGUGGUUAAAAAAGUUGGUGGUGAAAUCCCAGAGCUUAACUCUGGAACUGCCAUCAAAACUUUUUAGCUAGAGUAUGAUAGAGGAAAGCAGAAUUUCUAGUGUAGAGGUGAAAUUCGUAGAUAUUAGAAAGAAUACCAAUUGCGAAGGCAGCUUUCUGGAUCAUUACUGACACUGAGGAACGAAAGCAUGGGUAGCGAAGAGGAUUAGAUACCCUCGUAGUCCAUGCCGUAAACGAUGUGUGUUAGAUGUUGGAAAUUUAUUUUCAGUAUCGCAGCGAAAGCAAUAAACACACCGCCUGGGGAGUACGACCGC
RNAcentral lists this ribosomal RNA (803 nucleotides) under uncultured Pelagibacteraceae bacterium. RNAcentral's name for it is "bacterial SSU rRNA". It matches the Rfam family "Bacterial small subunit ribosomal RNA", at positions 38 to 889 of the family's 1533-position model. Lineage: Bacteria; Pseudomonadati; Pseudomonadota; Alphaproteobacteria; Candidatus Pelagibacterales; Candidatus Pelagibacteraceae. The record is from RNAcentral.